GUGCAGAAGUUAAUGGUUAAACGCCGGCCGAUUAAAGCAGUACUCUUAAAGCCGGAGUCUGGGUUCGAUUCCUAGCUGUACACCA
RNAcentral lists this transfer RNA (85 nucleotides) under Acinetobacter towneri. RNAcentral describes it as "tRNA-OTHER". Lineage: Bacteria; Pseudomonadati; Pseudomonadota; Gammaproteobacteria; Moraxellales; Moraxellaceae. The record is from RNAcentral. RNAcentral also lists the same sequence under 3 other names.